GACGUAGGGGGCGAGCGUUGUCCGGAUUUAUUGGGCGUAAAGAGCUCGUAGGCGGCUCGUUGCGUCGGCUGUGAAAACCCGCAGCUCAACUGUGGGCUUGCAGCCGAUACGGGCGGGCUGGAGUUCGGUAGGGGAGACGUGGAAUUCCUGGUGUAGCGGUGAAAUGCGCAGAUAUCAGGAGGAACACCGGUGGCGAAGGCGGGUCUCUGGGCCGAUACUGACGCUGAGGAGCGAAAGCGUGGGGAGCGAACAGG
This 254-nucleotide ribosomal RNA is filed under the name uncultured bacterium. Its description in RNAcentral is "partial 16S ribosomal RNA". It matches the Rfam family "Bacterial small subunit ribosomal RNA", at positions 524 to 776 of the family's 1533-position model. The record is from RNAcentral.